AAUACUAGCAUUUCAUAAACUACUGCUUAUUGUUACACACAAGUUGGAACAAGCAAUCCUCAGAUUUAACUUCCCACAUGUUAUGGAAGUUCUCUUUUCUCCUGAUCUGAAGUGAGUAAGGGCUUUAAAUGAUAUUUUAUGGGCGUAAUCAUUAAAGUCCAUUUACCAAUUAUAAAUGGCAAUGACUGAAAGUUCUCUUGAUCAAAUUAAAUUAUUUUUCCAUUUUGUUCUUCUGAGACCAACUGUGAGAAGUCUCCUGAUUUCUAGUAGUUUGACAAAUGGAAUAGCUAUCAAUGACAAGAGAAAGAUGUAAAAAAAAUAAUGAUAAUCGUUAGUUUAAAAAACAUUUCUUUCAAGCUGAAAUCUAACUUUAGCAAACUACCUAAACUACACAUUUUCAAUAUAUUUUUAUCCUGUUAAGUAGGAUGUAAUGUUACAAGUUAAUUAACAUUAACUUGUUACAUUCUACUCAGACUUGUUUCUUGCUUUGUGUCCAACCCAGGAUGAGAUAAAGCGGUUUUGAUAAUGGAUAAGUUAAUAUGUUGAAUUCCAAUGUAAAAUUUUUGUCAUGCUAUAACCUUUCAACAUAAUCAAAAACGACAGGUCAUUAUUUAUGUAGUAAUUUUAUAUAGCAAAGAUAAGUCCAGUUCCAUUCUCUUCAAUUAUUCUUCUCAACCACUUGUCUAGAUCUUGGUUCAGUUGAGCCUGGAUUACUGCAACUCCCUGAGGUCAAGGCCCUCUAUAACCGCUACCCAAUGAGUCCAAGUCAUUCAGAAUGUUACCAUUGCCUGUUGUGCUCUGCUGUUUUCUACAUUCAUAUUACUUCACUGUUUUACACUCACCACCAGCAAGAACCAGGCUAAAAAUUCACUCUACUCUACAGUUCCUUAUAUGGCUGAGUGCUGCACUUAACUUUCUAUAUGUCUCUCUUUGACGCCACAAUUCUGACUCAGAUAGCCUUUUCUGUAAUAUUCCCUACAAACUGAAAAAGGACUACUUGUUCGCAUGUUCCACAAGCUGUUCCCAAUCUAUGACAUUCAAGCAUCCCUUUACAACCCUCCUCUAUAGGCGGCACUUUGGGGUUGCUUAAGCUUUGUAUCGUUCAGCUGUACUGUGGGUUUCUAAUAACUUUUUUCUACUCUGUCUGCCCUAUAACUAUCAAGUUAUUGCUUACAGUUUACUCCUUUGCAAUUAUUUGCUACCCACAAUAUAAUGCUUUCCAUACUCUAUUAAAGAAGGUUUACUCAACUGACUAUUCAUUUUGCAUUGCCAUUCCAAGUGCUCUACCUUAUUUUUUAUAUUUGCUUAUUUUUAUGCCACCUUAUAGUAUAUGGGGCUAAACUGCAGGAACAUCCAUUCAACAGCUGCUGUGCCCACACAUGAUUUUAUAAGCUGUUGGGAACAGCCAUUUAGUAGGUAAUAUGUAAUAGCGUCUGGCAGAACACCUCACAGUGUUUAUUAUAACACUAUACAUAAUGGAAAAAGGUACAGAACAAUGUUAAUUAAACUCUGGAUGAAUGAAGGCAAAUCCCGUUUUUCUUUUGUAGCUGCAAACAAGGGAUUAGAGGUCACAUUGGAAAACAAAAGAAGGGCAGACUUAGAAGAGAAAGUAGGAAGCAUUUCUUUAUACAAAAGGUCACUAAUCUAUUCAAGGUCUACCGGAUCAUGUUGUUAAUACCAAAACACUGCUUUCUUCUAAAAGAAUGAGCCUGUAAGAGUUGCAGCUACAAGAUCAGGCUGGUGACAUUUUAUUGGAAAAAACCUGAGACCUCAUAUCGAAGAAGCAGUGAGACUGUAGUGUUUAAAUAUGAGACCAAGACAUGCAGGUUCUGAUUGCACUUGUAGUUCAUUUUGAGCACAUCUCUUAAAUUUAUUGAACUUCUGCAAAGAAUUUUGAUAUCAGGGUUGUCAAGUCUUCCUGAUUUCAAGAAUGAAACCUUUAAGAUUUACCAAGACUGAAUGAAUGCCUCAGAAUAUAUUUCUACUUGGAGAUGAAAUUUUUAAUAUGAAGAUGAUUUACAUUCACAAACCACUAAGAAGAUAAUAUGUACUGUAUAUACUGCACAGAAUCCCCUUACAAUUUCAAGCCUUUGAUGGAAGACGUGGGACGUGUCCAGUUUCUGUGAAUGCGCUAAGUUCAGUUAGCUGAAGCAGUAUUAAACUAUUAUACAGAAGGGAGUUUGUCUUUUAUUAGUGUGAAGGACAGAGUCUCACUUGGGACACAGGUCCCUUUGCAACCAGCCGUUAAUGCUCGGUAAUAAAAGGGCAUUAGGGUUCCCAUGAGGAAUGUUAGUUUUAGCCUUCUUUGCUGCUCUUUAUAUUCCGAGAAGGAACAGCUGAUAGAAUUAAUAAAGCUAAGGUUUUUAUAUGGUUGACUCAAGUAACAGCACUAAGAAGCCAAGCAUUGCUUCUAAGCUAUAUUAAGUAAAUAGUGUAACUAUUCUACAACUUUUUAAAUGAGGUGUAGAGAAAAAUAUUACAUAGUAAUCAACUAGGAUUUUAUUUUAAUUAGUUUGUGAAUCUAAAUUGAGUUCCAGAUCUUUUGUGGUGGCUGAUUUUCCUUUAUCUCUUUGCUAAAAUUAAACAUUAUUCAUAAAAUUUACAAUAUGUGUAAAGUGGUUAUCAUGCAGUACUUGCGAAACAGGAGAAAAAUAUUAUUUAAUAUCACUUAUGCAUCAUAUUGCAACAUCAUAAUCUGUCUAUCUAAUAUAGUACCUUUCCCAGUUCCUUUAAGCAAGCACUAAGACAAAAUAAUGCAUCUGUUACAAACUACCUGCAAUAUAUCAACAUUUGUUAUAAAAAUGAAUUGUACUGUAAAGCAUUUUUGUGAUAAUAAAAAAAUAAAAAUUUACUAGAAAGUACUUUUAAGUUUGGGUCUUAAAAACUGAAGAACAAAAAUUAAUCUGUCUUCUCCAUUUUGUUGUGUGUUAUUUUGAAUUAUACUCACAGUCAAAAGUCAUUUCCAAACUUAUUUUCUAUUUAUUCUAUGUUUUCAGGAACCGUUUUAAUUUGUUCCCAAGGCCAUAUGCUGAUUUGCCUGAGUCACUAUGUGCAAUGUUAUUACAACAAAGCUUUCCAGAGCUGUAAAGAACAAUAUUCUUUUUCUUAUUAUGUUACAUUUAUUCGAUGCAUUGUUCUCAUUUAAAUUUGAUGUUGUUUUUGGC
Long non-coding RNA from Erpetoichthys calabaricus (reedfish), 3164 nucleotides. RefSeq lists it as uncharacterized. NCBI's taxonomy places the organism in Eukaryota, Metazoa, Chordata, Cladistia, Polypteriformes, Polypteridae. The transcript has 3 exons. The record is from RefSeq and is a predicted model, not a curated record.